This 88-nucleotide transfer RNA is filed under the name Pseudomonas paraeruginosa PA7. RNAcentral's name for it is "tRNA-Leu". It matches the Rfam family "tRNA". Rfam says of the family: Transfer RNA (tRNA) molecules are approximately 80 nucleotides in length. Their secondary structure includes four short double-helical elements and three loops (D, anti-codon, and T loops). Further hydrogen bonds mediate the characteristic L-shaped molecular structure. tRNAs have two regions of fundamental functional importance: the anti-codon, which is responsible for specific mRNA codon recognition, and the 3' end, to which the tRNAs corresponding amino acid is attached (by aminoacyl-tRNA synthetases). tRNAs cope with the degeneracy of the genetic code in two manners: having more than one tRNA (with a specific anti-codon) for a particular amino acid; and 'wobble' base-pairing, i.e. permitting non-standard base-pairing at the 3rd anti-codon position. Lineage: Bacteria; Pseudomonadati; Pseudomonadota; Gammaproteobacteria; Pseudomonadales; Pseudomonadaceae. The record is from RNAcentral.
UGCCGAGGUGGUGGAAUUGGUAGACACGCUACCUUGAGGUGGUAGUGGCCAUAGGCUGUAGGGGUUCGAGUCCCCUCCUCGGUACCAU